CUUUUGAAAAACACUUAAAAAAACCAAUGUAACGCGACUCAAUGAUCUGACAAGUUUUCUCCUUCUUGCUCCAGCCAGUAUUGUGGUUUAUCCUCCUACGGCUAAUUGCCAUAUAGCGGCCACAUACCAUGGCUCGCGAAAACAAGUUCAGCUCAAUAAAGAGCAUCAUUACCCGCUUCGAUGGACUAAGAGUAAGUGAGUUUUACAAAGAAAAAAAGUAAUGAGAGUAAAGGACAGAAAUAGUUGAGUUAAAAAGAUAGCAUUAAGAAAAGCGGACAGACAUUGCACUAAGUAUUAGAAUCUGCAAUUUUAAAAAAAUUUGUUUAUUUUUUUUGCUUAGCCUGUGUGAAUUCCGGUAUCGGCUAAAUGAGCUAUCUUUUAAUCAAGAAUAUAUCAUACAAACUUUCCCUACGUUCCUUGCAACAGGCAGGUUACAAGAAAAUCAUUUUUAAAACUAAGCAAACUUUAAGCAUCAUAUCAGAAUCAAUGGCAAGACAGCGAAAAAUCUAAGUUAUGGACUUUUUUUUGUCUUUUUCAAGUCAAGUUUUGCAAGUUAAGUAUAUUCUAGGCUGCUCAACUGUAGAUUGAAACUAUCCGUUAUGUUAUAGUACAAUUCUCAAUAAAGAUACGCUAAAUAAUAUAUGUAAAUUUACGUUGUAAUACAAAUCUCUGUAAAUCUA
Molecule: non-coding RNA, 680 nt
Organism: Hydra vulgaris (swiftwater hydra)
Lineage: Eukaryota; Metazoa; Cnidaria; Hydrozoa; Anthoathecata; Hydridae
Source: RefSeq, a predicted model, not a curated record